This 403-nucleotide ribosomal RNA is filed under the name uncultured bacterium. RNAcentral's name for it is "bacterial SSU rRNA". It matches the Rfam family "Bacterial small subunit ribosomal RNA", at positions 362 to 758 of the family's 1533-position model. The record is from RNAcentral.
UUUUGGACAAUGGGCGAAAGCCUGAUCCAGCAAUGCCGCGUGUGGGAAGAAGGCCUUCGGGUUGUAAACCACUUUUGUACGGAACGAAACGGUCUGCUUUAAUACAGUGGGCUAAUGACGGUACCGUAAGAAUAAGCACCGGCUAACUACGUGCCAGCAGCCGCGGUAAUACGUAGGGUGCGAGCGUUAAUCGGAAUUACUGGGCGUAAAGCGUGCGCAGGCGGUUAUAUAAGACAGUUGUGAAAUCCCCGGGCUCAACCUGGGAAUUGCGUUCGAAACCGCAAGGCUAGAGUGUGUCAGAGGGGGGUAGAAUUCCACGUGUAGCAGUGAAAUGCGUAGAGAUGUGGAGGAAUACCAAUGGCGAAGGCAGCCCCCUGGGAUAACACUGACGCUCAUCACGAAA